GACGAACGCUGGCGGCGUGCUUAACACAUGCAAGUCGAACGGAAAGGCCCUGCUUCUGUGGGGUGCUCGAGUGGCGAACGGGUGAGUAACACGUGAGUAACCUGCCCUUGACUUUGGGAUAACUUCAGGAAACUGGGGCUAAUACCGGAUAGGAGCUCCUGCCGCAUGGUGGGGGUUGGAAAGUUUCGGCGGUUGGGGAUGGACUCGCGGCUUAUCAGCUUGUUGGUGGGGUAGUGGCUUACCAAGGCUUUGACGGGUAGCCGGCCUGAGAGGGUGACCGGCCACAUUGGGACUGAGAUACGGCCCAGACUCCUACGGGAGGCAGCAGUGGGGAAUAUUGCACAAUGGGCGGAAGCCUGAUGCAGCAACGCCGCGUGCGGGAUGACGGCCUUCGGGUUGUAAACCGCUUUCGCCUGUGACGAAGCGUGAGUGACGGUAAUGGGUAAAGAAGCACCGGCUAACUACGUG
This 468-nucleotide ribosomal RNA is filed under the name uncultured bacterium. RNAcentral describes it as "partial 16S ribosomal RNA". It matches the Rfam family "Bacterial small subunit ribosomal RNA", at positions 28 to 507 of the family's 1533-position model. The record is from RNAcentral.